RNAcentral lists this ribosomal RNA (1323 nucleotides) under metagenome. RNAcentral describes it as "bacterial LSU rRNA". It matches the Rfam family "Bacterial large subunit ribosomal RNA", at positions 1561 to 2925 of the family's 2925-position model. The record is from RNAcentral.
AGUGGAUGGGGAGCAACCUAGUUGUGCGUGUGUAAAGGUAGUGCCAAGAAAAGCGAUGAUCAUGUUGAAAAUCAAUUCCCGGUACCCGAAACCGACACAGGUGGGCAAGUAGAGAAUACUAAGGGGCGCGAGGUAACUCUCUCCAAGGAACUCGGCAAAAUGACCCCGUAACUUAGGGAGAAGGGGUGCCACCGAGAGGUGGUCGCAGUGAAGAGGCCCAGGCGACUGUUUAGCAAAAACAUAGGUCUCUGCAAACUCGAAAGAGGAGGUAUAGGGGCUGACGCCUGCCCAGUGCCGGAAGGUUAAAGAAGUUGGUCAGUUUUAGGAUGAAGCUAGCGACUGAAGCCCCGGUGAACGGCGGCCGUAACUAUAACGGUCCUAAGGUAGCGAAAUUCCUUGUCGGGUAAGUUCCGACCCGCACGAAAGGCGUAACGAUCUGGGCGCUGUCUCGGAGAGAGGCUCGGCGAAAUAGGAUUGUCUGUGAAGAUACGGACUACCUGCAUUUGGACAGAAAGACCCUAUGAAGCUUUACUAUAGCUUGGAAUUGUGUUCGGGCUUCCUGUGCGCAGGAUAGGUGGGAGGCGUAGAAGGUAUUCUUGUGGGGAUACUGGAGCCAACGGUGAGAUACCACUCUCAGGAGGCUAGAAUUCUAACUUAAUUAAGGACAGUUUCAGGUGGGUAGUUUGACUGGGGCGGUCGCCUCCAAAAAGGUAACGGAGGCGUACAAAGGUUCCCUCAGACUGGUUGGAAAUCAGUCGAAGAGUGCAAAGGCAGAAGGGAGCUUGACUGCGAGAAGUACAGUUCGAGCAGGGUGGAAACACGGUCUUAGUGAUCCGACGGUGCUGUGUGGAAGGGCCGUCGCUCAACGGAUAAAAGUUACUCUAGGAUAACAGGCUGAUCUCCCCCAAGAGUUCACAUCGACGGGGAGGUUUGGCACCUCGAUGUCGGCUCAUCGCAACCUGGGGCGGAAGUACGUCCCAAGGGUUGGGCUGUUCGCCCAUUAAAGCGGUACGUGAGCUGGGUUCAGAACGUCGUGAGACAGUUCGGUCCAUAUCCGAUGUAGGCGUGAGAAUAUUGAGAGGAGCCUUCCUUAGUACGAGAGGACCGGGAAGGACGCACCGCUGGUGUACCUGUUAUGAUGCCAAUUGUAAACGCAGGGUAGCCAAGUGCGGAGAGGAUAACCGCUGAAAGCAUCUAAGUGGGAAGCCCACCUCAAGAUGAGUAUUCUGGUGUGAGGUCACGGGAAGACGACCCGUAAAUAGGCACGAGGUGGAAGUGCAGAGAUGUAUGAAGCCGAAGUGUACUAAUAGACCGUCGGCUUGA